AACACGAAUCAGGUCAAGGAUGGAUCAGGGAAAUCCGAAUGAGCUCUUAGAGACCCUGGUUUCCUCAGAGACACAGGUGGGAGGGGAAACUUUCUAGGGGUUCACGAGCAGCUGCUGCAGCGGCUGAGAUAGGUCCAGAGGACUACAGAAUCUUCUAUAUGAGAAAAGAGACAGAGUUGAAGAGCUAGCCACGUAAGCCAAGUGGAAGCUGCAGCCCUCCAUCCAAAGGUAUACGCCUUGGGGCCUCUGGGCUCCCAGUGCCCUGAGUCCUGAUUCCUUGACAGUGUUUUCCCUCGGAGUUCCGUCGUGACCCAACAGGCUGGACCGCUCCGGCUGCACAUCAGCCAUCCAAGAUGCAGAUUACUCCUUGCCAGUAUAAGCCUCCAAGGCUGCCCUGGCCAUGGGACCAAGGGACGCUGAACUGAGGGAAAGGGAGAGAUGCAGGGAGAACGGCAUACCCGUGUUCCCACUCAAGCCAGGACCAUCUGCAGACAGACUAGAUUUUCUACAGAAGGGAUGGAUGCCUUGACACGACUAGGGAGAUGAAGCCCAUCAGGCCCUCAAAUGCACACUCUAGAACCCAGAUGAGGACCAGACACACCAUGGGGUCCGUGAAGGGUUCACUCCCAUGUCUACCCUCGCACCUGGGUUGAAAGAGCAACAAAUAUGUCCCCACACAUUAAUGUGGAACGUCUAUACUGUCUCCUCCUUUACAGCCCUGUGCUGGGACUCUGCGGAUAAAAUAUCAGUGGGGGAAAACAAAUGGCCCUUAAUGAAUUGCCUGUGAGUUAGAGCCCCGAUGCGGUUUUAAUGGCAAAUGAAAAAAAUAAACUUGUCAAUAAGAGA
Long non-coding RNA from Mastomys coucha (southern multimammate mouse), 846 nucleotides. RefSeq lists it as uncharacterized. The record is from RefSeq and is a predicted model, not a curated record. Lineage: Eukaryota; Metazoa; Chordata; Mammalia; Rodentia; Muridae. The transcript is spliced from 3 exons.